AGCAGUCGCGGUAAUUCCAGCUCCAAUAGCGUAUAUUAAAGUUGUUGCAGUUAAAAAGCUCGUAGUUGAAUUUCGGGGUUAGUAGGUUGGUCAUGCCUCUGGUAUGUACUGGUCUCACUGAUUCCUCCUUCCUGAUGAACCUUAAUGCCAUUAAUUUGGUGUUUUGGGGAAUUUGGACUGUUACUUUGAAAAAAUUAGAGUGUUUAAAGCAAGCUAACGCUUGAAUACAUUAGCAUGGAAUAAUGAAAUAGGACGUUCGAUCCUAUUUUGUUGGUUUCUAGGAUUGACGUAAUGAUUAAUAGGGAUAGUUGGGGGCAUUAGUAUUCAAUUGUCAGAGGUGAAAUUCUUGGAUUUAUUGAAGACUAACUACUGCGAAAGCAUUUGCCAAGGAUGUUUUCAUUAAUCAAGAACGAAAGUUAGGGGAUCGAAGACGAUCAGAUACCGUCGUAGUCUUAACCAUAAACUAUGCCGACUAGGGAUCGGAUGAUGUUAAUUUUUAAUGACUCACUCGGCGCCUUAC
Molecule: ribosomal RNA, 520 nt
Filed under: uncultured Glomus
Lineage: Eukaryota; Fungi; Glomeromycota; Glomeromycetes; Glomerales; Glomeraceae
Description: SSU rRNA
Rfam family: Eukaryotic small subunit ribosomal RNA
Source: RNAcentral